This 253-nucleotide ribosomal RNA is filed under the name uncultured bacterium. Its description in RNAcentral is "partial 16S ribosomal RNA". It matches the Rfam family "Bacterial small subunit ribosomal RNA", at positions 524 to 776 of the family's 1533-position model. The record is from RNAcentral.
UACGAAGGGGGCUAGCGUUGCUCGGAAUCACUGGGCGUAAAGGGUGCGUAGGCGGGUCUUUAAGUCAGGGGUGAAAUCCUGGAGCUCAACUCCAGAACUGCCUUUGAUACUGCCGAUCUUGAGUCCGGGAGAGGUGAGUGGAACUCCGAGUGUAGAGGUGAAAUUCGUAGAUAUUCGGAAGAACACCAGUGGCGAAGGCGGCUCACUGGCCCGGUACUGACGCUGAGGUGCGAAAGCGUGGGGAGCAAACAGG